This 1270-nucleotide long non-coding RNA is filed under the name Marmota monax (woodchuck). Lineage: Eukaryota; Metazoa; Chordata; Mammalia; Rodentia; Sciuridae. The record is from RNAcentral.
CCCAGUUCAGGAUAUGGACAUUCAGAAGUGUCUGCACUAUAUGACAGUGAAAAGAUUUUGAGACCCGAGGCAGCAGGAGCCAUGAAGACAGUUACCAUCAACAAAGUAAAUGGUACAAAUAUUUCAUUUCUGAAAGAAAAGGCAUUGUAUUAAGGGACAAAUGGAAGAGGAAAUUGCAGCCCAGAACAUGAACGGGAGAAGGCUGCAGAGGAUAUGGGUCAGCCUUCUCAGGGGAGCUCCGGAAAGGGGCCCAGCUUGGAGGAAGCUGAGCGGGUAACUUCCUGAGGAGUGAGCUAUACAGCAGCUGGACCAACCCCCCCACACACACACCACACACACACACACCUGCACUCACAAGUGCACACACAAAAAUACCAGCUGGGUUAAGCAUGAGUUCAGAUGCUUACCUACUAAGAAUUAUUCCCUAAACUGAGCAGAGACACAGUUUUCAGGUUGGGAAGAGACACACUAUGUAAAACACUCCAAAAUAGGCCCAAAGAGGAAGGAAGACAGCUCCCACAUGGGGUGAGGGGUGUCAAGGCCACCUGCUCCCCACUUGUUCAAUUCAUGAAGGGAAACCAGGACACACACUCUCAGUGAGACACUCCUUCAGCUCCACUGCAGGGAAAUGGCUUCUUGGAUAGAUGGUCUUGAAAAAGAAACACUUCCUGGAACUUCUAAAAAUCAGUUUAGUCCUUCAUUCACAAAAAAGGGCUGAGGAUCGAUUAGUAUUCUCUUCCAUGAGAAUCAGGGGGAACAGAGGCAUAACUAAGCCCUGAGAUAACUAAGAAUUACCAAAAGAAAAGUCUAAUCUGUUUCAUUAUAAGGAGGCCUUGCAUAUAUAAAGAACUGGCUCUUAUGGAAAGAAGGGCAGUCAGGAAACAAGACAUUGUUUUGGAAAUUUUUUUUUCAAAAAAAGAAUAAAGAUAACAAAAAAUAAAAAGUUCUAUACAUAGCUAGAUAAUGGGCUGGUUAUGACUCACAACCAAAUUGGUUUUGUAGUGGUUUAUAGAGAUAGUUAUGCAUAACUCUAUGGUUUACCAAAAUCGUUUAACACUUUAUUUUCUUGAGGCGUUGUUUUUUCCCCCCUAACCUUUCACUGUACACUUUAAAUGGGUAAAUGCUAUAGGAGGAAAAUUAUACCUCAAUAAAGCUAUUAUAAAAAAAUCACCCAGCCAGGGGGCUGAGGUUGUGGCUCAAUGGUAGAGCACUUGCCUAGCAUGUGCAGGGCCCUGGGUUUGAUCCUCAGCACCAAGGUAUUUGUCCAUCU